RNAcentral lists this unclassified non-coding RNA (307 nucleotides) under plant metagenome. RNAcentral describes it as "partial contains 5.8S ribosomal RNA, internal transcribed spacer 2, and large subunit ribosomal RNA". The stretch from base 1 to 105 matches the Rfam family "5.8S ribosomal RNA", at positions 50 to 154 of the family's 154-position model. The record is from RNAcentral.
GAACUGCGAUAAGUAAUGUGAAUUGCAGAAUUCAGUGAAUCAUCGAGUCUUUGAACGCACAUUGCGCCCCCUGGCAUUCCGGGGGGCAUGCCUGUCCGAGCGUCAUUUCAACCCUCAGAACCCCUUGCGGGAUCUGGCGUUGGGGAUUGGCAUCCAGCCAGCCCCGAAAUCUAGUGGCGGUCCCUCCGCGACCUCCCCUGUGCAGUAGCGAUACCUCGCAGCGGGACAGCGGUCUGACCACGCCGUAAAACCCCCAACUUCUCAAGGUUGACCUCGAAUCAGGUAGGAAUACCCGCUGAACUUAAGC